Branchiostoma floridae (Florida lancelet) is the source of this 853-nucleotide long non-coding RNA. RefSeq lists it as uncharacterized. The transcript has 2 exons. The record is from RefSeq and is a predicted model, not a curated record. Lineage: Eukaryota; Metazoa; Chordata; Leptocardii; Amphioxiformes; Branchiostomatidae.
ACCAGUCAUGUCCACCAUAUUUCGGAAAUCGAACUGUGCCGUCGUGGACAUGCAUGGAAGUUUGCCAACUAUUCAGGACCGAAAAACACAUGGAAAUGUCUGCUGCUACAGUGUGAAGUUCUUCUGCUUAUGGUGGGAUCGUCAAAUAGUAACGGUUUAACAACCAACGGGUAACUUUUGCCCUCGACUAUCGUAUUUUUUAGCGAUUCCACGGCGUCAGCAGCUCGAGCUCGGACAAAUUCGCAACCUAACGUUACUGUUUCUCAUCAUGAUCAAUAAAUGGGGCAUUGAUGUCUGAAAACGUGUAUUGGCAGAAGUGGAGAAGCUGAUUACACAGCAGGAGAUGGAGCUCUUCAUGCAUCCCCCUGUCACCUGUCCAUAGAAUGGUCAAAGCACCAGCUUAAGUUGUUAACAACAUUUUUGGCUUGACAGAAGACUACAUGUACAUGUACAUGUACUGUAUAUAGAAAAAGUUGAAGUUGACAUGUAGAUUUGUUUAGGAGUAGAGUGUCCUGAUGGUUUGUAAAAUCUGUGUGGGGUUGUAUAAUAAUUGGUUCCUUUGAUGCCAAUUCCAUUUGAUACCAAGUCAUCUGACUCUGAGUGGCACAUGUAUACAGUUGUCGCAAGAAGCCUCUAAACCUGUAUAAAGCUAUAAUAGUAGUGCCAUAAUGUAUGCUGUAUUUAGCACAAUAUUUUAUAUUCUUCGAUACUGUAGUACUUUGUACUGAUAAGUGUAAUACUGUAUGUUGAGUAACAUUUGCAUAUGUUCAACCAUUUGUCUAGUUAGAUGUACCUGCAUUGAAUUGUUCUGCCAGUUCAUUCUAGCGACGCUGAAGAAUAGUGAUGGAUGUUA